RNAcentral lists this ribosomal RNA (979 nucleotides) under uncultured archaeon. RNAcentral's name for it is "bacterial SSU rRNA". It matches the Rfam family "Archaeal small subunit ribosomal RNA", at positions 1 to 919 of the family's 1478-position model. The record is from RNAcentral.
GGCUCGCAGUGCAGCUUGCAUGCCUGCAGGUCGACGAUUUUCCGGUUGAUCCCGCCGGACCCGACUGCUAUCGAAAUGGGACUAAGCCAUGUUAGUCGAACGUCUUUUAACUAUGUGAGGGGCGUGGCAUACGGCUCAGUAACACGUUGUCAAUCUACCCUGAAGACGUGGAUAACCCCGGGAAACUGGGAUUAAACCACGAUAAAUCAAGAUAUCUGGAACGGAUUUUGGUUCAAAGGAAGGAUGAGCAUGUUCAUCUAUUUGCUUCAGGAUGGGACUGCGACCGAUCAGGUAGUUGGUGGAGUAAUAGCCCACCAAGCCAGUGACCGGUACGGGCUUUGAGAGAAGGAGCCCGGAGAUGGACACUGAGAAAAGAGUCCAGGUCCUACGGGGCGCAGCAGGCGCGAAACCUUCGCAAUGCACGAAAGUGCGACGAGGUUAUUUCGAGUGCCAUCCGCUAAGGAUGGCUUUUGUCAGGUGUAAAUAGCCUGAAGAAUAAGGGGAGGGCAAGUCUGGUGUCAGCCGCCGCGGUAAUACCAGCUCCCCGAGUGGUCGGGACGAUUAUUGGGCCUAAAGCAUCCGUAGCUUGCUUCGCAGGUCUUCUGUUAAAUUCAACAGCUUAACUGUUGAGCCGCAGGAGAUACCACGAGGCUAGGAGGCGGAAGAGGUAGACGGUAUUCCAUGUGUAGGGGUAAAAUCCUUUGAUCCAUGGAGGACCACCAGUGGCGAAGGCGGUCUACCAGAACGCGCUCGACAGUGAGGGAUGAAAGCUGGGGGAGCGAACCGGAUUAGAUACCCGGGUAGUCCCAGCUGUAAACGAUGCUAGCUAGGUGACGGAGUGGUUUCGUACCAUUCCGGUGCCGCAGGGAAGCCGUUAAGCUAGCCGCCUGGGGAGUACGGUCGCAAGGCUGAAACUUAAAGGAAUUGGCGGGGGAGCACCACAAGGGGUGAAGCCUGCGGUUCAAAUGGAGUCAACGCC